Molecule: regulatory RNA element, 153 nt
Organism: Rhizobacter sp. Root1221
Lineage: Bacteria; Pseudomonadati; Pseudomonadota; Betaproteobacteria; Burkholderiales; Sphaerotilaceae
Rfam family: FMN riboswitch aptamer (RFN element)
About the family: The RFN element is a highly conserved domain that is found frequently in the 5'-untranslated regions of prokaryotic mRNAs that encode for flavin mononucleotide (FMN) biosynthesis and transport proteins. This element is a metabolite-dependent riboswitch that directly binds FMN in the absence of proteins.
Source: Rfam
UUGCGUUCUCAGGGCGGGGUGAAACUCCCCACCGGCGGUGAUGGCGACUCGAUCGCACAAGCCCGCGAGCGCCCGGCACUCCCCGUGCCGGGGUCAGCAGACCCGGUUGGAUUCCGGGGCCGACGGUCACAGUCCGGAUGAAAGAGAGCGCGA